This 441-nucleotide ribosomal RNA is filed under the name uncultured bacterium. Its description in RNAcentral is "bacterial SSU rRNA". It matches the Rfam family "Bacterial small subunit ribosomal RNA", at positions 335 to 792 of the family's 1533-position model. The record is from RNAcentral.
ACUCCUACGGGAGGCAGCAGUCGGGAAUAUUGCGCAAUGGAGGAAACUCUGACGCAGUGACGCCGCGUAUAGGAAGAAGGUUUUCGGAUUGUAAACUAUUGUCGUUAGGGAAGAUAAAAGACAGUACCUAAGGAGGAAGCUCCGGCUAACUACGUGCCAGCAGCCGCGGUAAUACGUAGGGAGCAAGCGUUAUCCGGAUUUACUGGGUGUAAAGGGAGCGUAGACGGUGCAGCAAGUCUGGAGUGAAAGGCAGGGGCCCAACCCCUGGACUGCUCUGGAAACUGUUGUACUUGAGUGCAGGAGAGGUAAGUGGAAUUCCUAGUGUAGCGGUGAAAUGCGUAGAUAUUAGGAGGAACACCAGUGGCGAAGGCGGCUUACUGGACUGUAACUGACGUUGAGGCUCGAAAGCGUGGGGAGCAAACAGGAUUAGAUACCCCAGUA